GUGCACUUCCUGUGUUCCUCGAGCUCCCUCUCAAAGUUCGCCUUCCUCCGACUGUACUCCAUGAUCUCCUUCACGUGGAGACUUCGAAAGUGGGCGGCCUCCACGGUGGCUUCGGAGUGACCCUCCCUCAACCUGCGGAGCUCGCCUUCCAUCUUCUUCAACCUUUUCGUCAAAUGAAGAACUUCCUUCUUCAGGUGCUGGAUCAU
This 206-nucleotide long non-coding RNA is filed under the name Elaeis guineensis (African oil palm). RNAcentral's name for it is "long non-coding RNA (EGUI_LNC077987)". Lineage: Eukaryota; Viridiplantae; Streptophyta; Magnoliopsida; Arecales; Arecaceae. The record is from RNAcentral.